CAGAGGAUGUUUAUGGUGCAGUACUUUCCGAGUUCCCUGGAACGGGACGCCACAGAGGGUGAGAGCCCCGUCUGGAUGGAUACUAAACCUGUGUUAAACUCCUUCAACGAGUCGAGUAGUUUGGGAAUGCUGCUCUAAAUGGGAGGUAAAUCUCUUCUAAAGCUAAAUACUGGCCAGAGACCGAUAGCGCACAAGUAGAGUGAUCGAAAGAUGAAAAGCACCUUGAAAAGGGGGUUAAACAGUACGUGAAAUUGUUGAAAGGGAAGCGUUUAUGACCAGACUUGUGCCGUGUGGCUCAUCCGAGGUUCUCCCCGGUGCACUCCACGCGGCUCAGGCCAACAUCGGUUUUCGUUGGGGGAUAAGAACAGUAGGAACGUGGCCCCUCUCGGGGGGUGUUAUAGCCUAUUGUACGAUACUCUGACGGAGACCGAGGACCGCGCUUCGGCUAGGAUGUUGGCGUAAUGGUCAUUAGCGACCCGUCUUGAAACACGGACCAAGGAGUCGUCCAUUAGAGCGAGCGUUUGGGUGUAAAACCCGCACGCGUAAUGAAAGUGAAAUUAGGUGAGAGCUUCGGCGCAUCAUCGACCGAUCCUGAAGUUUACGGAUGGAUUUGAGUAAGAGUUUUAACGGACGGACCCGAAAGACAGUGAACUAUGCUUGAAUAGGGUGAAGCCAGAGGAAACUCUGGUGGAGGCUCGCAGCGGUUCUGACGUGCAAAUCGAUCGUCAAAUUUGAGCAUGGGGGCGAAAGACUAAUCGA
This 759-nucleotide ribosomal RNA is filed under the name Tenuignomonia styracis. Its description in RNAcentral is "partial 28S ribosomal RNA". It matches the Rfam family "Eukaryotic large subunit ribosomal RNA", at positions 151 to 938 of the family's 3401-position model. Lineage: Eukaryota; Fungi; Ascomycota; Sordariomycetes; Diaporthales; Gnomoniaceae. The record is from RNAcentral.